AUUGAACGCUGGCGGCAGGCUUAACACAUGCAAGUCGAGCGGGGUGAUGGUGCUUGCACUAUCACUUAGCGGCGGACGGGUGAGUAAUGCUUAGGAAUCUGCCUAUUAGUGGGGGACAACAUCUCGAAAGGGAUGCUAAUACCGCAUACGUCCUACGGGAGAAAGCAGGGGAUCACUUGUGACCUUGCGCUAAUAGAUGAGCCUAGGUAGGAUUAGCUAGUUGGUGGGGUAAAGGCCUAGCAAGGCGACGAUUGGUAGCGGGUGUGAGAGGAUGAUCCGCAACACUGGGACGGAGACACGGCCCAGACUCCUACGGGAGGCAGCAGUGGGGAAUAUUGGACAAUGGGGGGAACCCUGAUCCAGCCAUGCCGCGUGUGUGAAGAAGGCCUUAUGGUUGUAAAGCACUUUAAGCGAGGAGGAGGCUCUUUUGGUUAAUACCCAAGAUGAGUGGACGUUACUCGCAGAAUAAGCACCGGCUAACUCUGUGCCAGCCGCCGCCGUAA
Molecule: ribosomal RNA, 503 nt
Filed under: uncultured bacterium
Lineage: Bacteria
Description: partial 16S ribosomal RNA
Rfam family: Bacterial small subunit ribosomal RNA
Source: RNAcentral